AAACAAGAAAGGAAGGGGCACCAAAACCCUAGAGAUUGCAUCAGCCCCCUUUUUAGAGGAAAGGAGAUGAACUCGUUCCUGGAAAUCAUGGUUAAAAUUACAUCUCUCGGGUGAAUCGCAUGUGACACUGGAGAACCUUGCAAUUUGCUCGCGGUGCCUGAAACCCAUAGUGGGUGUGUGCAUAUCUCUUCUACCCCCGUCAUUAAUACUGUUUCUAGCACCAUGUAGUGAUCUCUCAAUGAUUAUUGAAGUCAGAUAAGGAUUUGGCCACCCCUUUACCUGAAUGAACUAAACCGGUUGCAGGUCCAUCGCCUCAUGCGACGAGGCUUGAGUCACUAUCGGCAGUGAUUAGUAAAGUUGGAGCAGGUUGAUACCUCUCUUUAUUUUUUGUUUACAGAUUACUAAAUGGGAUAUUGAAUCUUUGAUGGUAGAUUGUGGUUUUAAUUGAUAAGUUAAGGGAAUGAAUUUGAUUACUAAUUUAAUGUAUUGACUAAGUUCCUAUAAUACCUUUGUUUAGUUAUCAGGAUGAAUAUGUAUGAAAAUGAAGGAUGGAGA
RNAcentral lists this long non-coding RNA (555 nucleotides) under Lupinus angustifolius (narrow-leaved blue lupine). Its description in RNAcentral is "long non-coding RNA (LANG_LNC003552)". Lineage: Eukaryota; Viridiplantae; Streptophyta; Magnoliopsida; Fabales; Fabaceae. The record is from RNAcentral.